This 441-nucleotide ribosomal RNA is filed under the name uncultured bacterium. Its description in RNAcentral is "partial 16S ribosomal RNA". It matches the Rfam family "Bacterial small subunit ribosomal RNA", at positions 338 to 795 of the family's 1533-position model. The record is from RNAcentral.
CCUACGGGUGGCAGCAGUGGGGGAUAUUGCACAAUGGGCGGAACCCUGAUGCAGCGACGCCGCGUGGGUGAAGGAGCGUUUCGGCGCGUAAAGCCCUAUCGGCAGGGAAGAAGAAGGACGGUACCUGACUAAGAAGCCCCGGCUAACUACGUGCCAGCAGCCACGGUACUACGUAGGGGGCAAGCGUUAUCCGGAUUUACUGGGUAUAAAGGGGGCGCAGACGGCAGCGCAAGCCAGGAGUGAAAGCCCGGGGCCCAACCCCGGGACUGCUGUUGGAACCGCGCGGCGGGAGUGCAGGAGGGGCAGGCGGAAUGCCUGGUGUAGCGGUGAAAUGCGUAGAUAUCAGGAGGAACACCGGUGGCGAAGGCGGCCUGCUGGACUGCGACUGACGUUGAGGCCCGAAAGCGUGGGGAGCAAACAGGAUUAGAUACCCUUGUAGUC